GAUGAACGCUGACAGAAUGCUUAACACAUGCAAGUCAACUUGAAUUUGGGUUUUUAACUUAGGUUUGGGUGGCGGACGGGUGAGUAACGCGUAAAGAACUUGCCUCACAGGUAGGGACAACAUUUGGAAACGAAUGCUAAUACCUAAUAUUAUGAUAAUAGGGCAUCCUAUAAUUAUGAAAGCUAUAAGCGCUGUGAGAGAGCUUUGCGUCCCAUUAGCUAGUUGGAGAGGUAACGGCUCACCAAGGCGAUGAUGGGUAGCCGGCCUGAGAGGGUGAUCGGCCACAAGGGGACUGAGACACGGCCCUUACUCCUACGGGAGGCAGCAGUGGGGAAUAUUGGACAAUGGACCAAGAGUCUGAUCCAGCAAUUCUGUGUGCACGAUGAAGUUUUUCGGAAUGUAAAGUGCUUUCAGUUGGGAAGAAAGAAACGACGGUACCAACAGAAGAAGUGACGGCUAAAUACGUGCCAGCAGCCGCGGUAAUACGUAUGUCACGAGCGUUAUCCGGAUUUAUUGGGCGUAAAGCGCGUCUAGGUGGUUAUGUAAGUCUGAUGUGAAAAUGCAGGGCUCAACUCUGUAUUGCGUUGGAAACUGUAUAACUAGAGUACUGGAGAGGUAAGCGGAACUACAAGUGUAGAGGUGAAAUUCGUAGAUAUUUGUAGGAAUGCCGAUGGGGAAGCCAGCUUACUGGACAGAUACUGACGCUGAAGCGCGAAAGCGUGGGUAGCAAACAGGAUUAGAUACCCUGGUAGUCCACGCCGUAAACGAUGAUUACUAGGUGUUGGGGGUCGAACCUCAGCGCCCAAGCAAACGCGAUAAGUAAUCCGCCUGGGGAGUACGUACGCAAGUAUGAAACUCAAAGGAAUUGACGGGGACCCGCACAAGCGGUGGAGCAUGUGGUUUAAUUCGACGCAACGCGAGGAACCUUACCAGCGUUUGACAUCUUAGGAAUGAGACAGAGAUGUUUCAGUGUCCUUGCGGGG
RNAcentral lists this ribosomal RNA (983 nucleotides) under Fusobacterium naviforme. Its description in RNAcentral is "bacterial SSU rRNA". It matches the Rfam family "Bacterial small subunit ribosomal RNA", at positions 28 to 1025 of the family's 1533-position model. Lineage: Bacteria; Fusobacteriati; Fusobacteriota; Fusobacteriia; Fusobacteriales; Fusobacteriaceae. The record is from RNAcentral.